CUUGCUAAAUGUGACCAUUUUUCUGUCUUAAAAAGCAUCCAUUCUAGUAGUACCACUAUUUAGACCCUUCUAAACCAAAAACAAUAGAUAACUUGCCGUAUUUUUUCAUUUAUACCUGAUACAUGUUACACUGAAUCAGAGGAGCAGUUGUUUUUUCACUGGACUGUGAUUGGGUAAUGUAAAGUUUUAAUCCAUUGGUCAUGCCUUGUCUUAAAACGUUUAUAUGCUUUCCUACAACAUUUUGGCUGUAUAGUUUUGGUGUUUGUCUUAGAGAAUUCUUUGGCAGGAAGUGAUUUUUGUGAGGUGAUAUGGCUUUGAAGAUGUGUAUAAGCUAAAAACAGUAUUUUAUUGAGAUCAGUAGUAGUUAUUGUGUCUAUCAACUCUAAAAUCAAGUGCCAGAGAGAACUUUAAAAUUUUAAGCUGUGUAUAAAAUUGUUUUAUGUAGCAUUGAAAUUUUCUGUCAGUUUUGUAAGUCACUGUAAAUGAUUAUCAGCUUGAAGUUAUUUUUAUAUUAAAAGUUGACAAAUAACAUAAGUGGAUGAUGACAUUUGGGGCCAAAAGUGAGAAUAUGUUUCCUCUAAAAUACUUCCCUAAGCAGUGGUGUACCUGGUUAUUUUAUUUAUUUGUUUCUCUCCUAUAUUUCUCUGUGAACCAUGCUCCAGUCUGAUUUUUGGUUUUUUUUUUUUUUUUAUCACCAUAAUAAGGGAAGAUGUAGAAAUAGAGACUUAAGUUGCACAAAUUUGAUACUGUUAAAUACGAGAACAUAUGGGUACUUACUUUUUGAGGGUCUGUUAAUACAUACGGUUGUCACAAUACAUAAACAUGAUAAAUAGUGUAUAUGUACAAAUGCUUGUGGUCUAUACAUUUUUUUAUACUCACUUAGUUUAUCUUCUUGAAUCGUUGUUCAGCAACAUACUAAUUCCUCGUCUAUACUUAUUCUCUAGUGACCAAGUGCUGACAUUUCUUUU
RNAcentral lists this long non-coding RNA (968 nucleotides) under Bos taurus (domestic cattle). RNAcentral's name for it is "long non-coding RNA NONBTAT004121". The record is from RNAcentral. Lineage: Eukaryota; Metazoa; Chordata; Mammalia; Artiodactyla; Bovidae.